AGUCAACAUGCCCAGGGGACGUGGAUAACCUCGGGAAACUGAGGAUAAACCGCGAUAAGUCACUACUUCUGGAAUGGGUAAUGACUCAAAUCUAUAUGGCCCCUGGAUUGGACUGCGGCCGAUCAGGCUGUUGGUGAGGUAAUGGCCCACCAAACCUGUAACCGGUACGGGCUCUGAGAGGAGGAGCCCGGAGAUGGGCACUGAGACAAGGGCCCAGGCCCUAUGGGGCGCAGCAGGCGCGAAACCUCUGCAAUAGGCGAAAGCUUGACAGGGUUACUCUGAGUGAUUUCCGUUAAGGAAAUCUUUUGGCACCUCUAAAAAUGGUGCAGAAUAAGGGGUGGGCAAGUCUGGUGUCAGCCGCCGCGGUAAUACCAGCACCCCGAGUGGUCGGGACGUUUAUUGGGCCUAAAGUAUCCGUAGCCGGUUCUACAAGUCUUCCGUUAAAUCCAACUGCUUAACAGGUGGGCUGCGGAAGAUACUAUAGAGCUAGGAGGCGGGAGAGGCAAGCGGUACUCGAUGGGUAGGGGUAAAAUCCGUUGAUCCAUUGAAGACCACCAGUGGCGAAGGCGGCUUGCCAGAACGCGCUCGACGGUGAGGGAUGAAAGCUGGGGGAGCAAACCGGAUUAGAUACCCGGGUAGUCCCAGCUGUAAACGAUGCAGACUCGGUGAUGAGUUGGCUAUAUGCCCUCUCAGUGCCGCAGGGAAGCCGUUAAGUUUGCCGCCUGGGGAGUACGGUCGCAAGACUGAAACUUAA
RNAcentral lists this ribosomal RNA (754 nucleotides) under uncultured archaeon. RNAcentral's name for it is "bacterial SSU rRNA". It matches the Rfam family "Archaeal small subunit ribosomal RNA", at positions 102 to 859 of the family's 1478-position model. The record is from RNAcentral.